This 225-nucleotide ribosomal RNA is filed under the name uncultured Thorsellia sp. RNAcentral's name for it is "partial 16S ribosomal RNA". It matches the Rfam family "Bacterial small subunit ribosomal RNA", at positions 568 to 792 of the family's 1533-position model. The record is from RNAcentral. Lineage: Bacteria; Pseudomonadati; Pseudomonadota; Gammaproteobacteria; Enterobacterales; Thorselliaceae.
CAUGCAGGCGGUUACAUAAGUCAGAUGUGAAAUCCCCGCGCUUAACGUGGGCAUUGCAUUUGAAACUAUGUAGCUAGAGUUCUGUAGAGGGGGGUAGAAUUCCAGGUGUAGCGGUGAAAUGCGUAGAGAUCUGGAGGAAUACCGAUUGCGAAGGCGACUUUCUGGACUGUAACUGACGCUGAGGCGCGAAAGCGUGGGGAGCAAACAGGAUUAGAUACCCUUGUA